ACGCCUUAAACUAAUGAGUAAGGAAAAUAACGCUCCGGUGGAAUAACCGGUGCUCUGGUUAUGUCCAGCUCAAUGUUUGCAGGGCAAAGGCCUUCUCGGUAUGUCCUUCUACUUUUAAGGACGUGCUCGAUGAUUGUGGCCUACCC
Molecule: non-coding RNA, 146 nt
Organism: Hymenolepis diminuta
Lineage: Eukaryota; Metazoa; Platyhelminthes; Cestoda; Cyclophyllidea; Hymenolepididae
Source: Rfam